Molecule: ribosomal RNA, 484 nt
Filed under: uncultured bacterium
Lineage: Bacteria
Description: partial 16S ribosomal RNA
Rfam family: Bacterial small subunit ribosomal RNA
Source: RNAcentral
AUUGAACGCUGGCGGCAGGCCUAACACAUGCAAGUCGAGCGGAUGAAGGGAGCUUGCUCCUGGAUUCAGCGGCGGACGGGUGAGUAAUGCCUAGGAAUCUGCCUGGUAGUGGGGGAUAACGUCCGGACACGGGCGCUAAUACCGCAUACGUCCUGAGGGAGAAAGUGAGGGAUCUUCGGACCUCACGCUAUCAGAUGAGCCUAGGUCGGAUUAGCUAGUUGGUGGGGUAAAGGCCUACCAAGGCGACGAUCCGUAACUGGUCUGAGAGGAUGAUCAGUCACACUUGAACUGAGACACGGUCCAGACUCCUACGGGAGGCAGCAGUGGGGAAUAUUGGAGAAUGGGGGAAAGCCUGAUCCAGCCAUGCCGCGUGUGUGAAGAAGGUCUUCGGAUUGUAAAGCACUUUAAGUUGGGAGGAAGGGCAGUAAGUUAAUACCUUGCUGUUUUGACGUUACCAACAGAAUAAGCACCGGCUAACUUCGUG